Molecule: ribosomal RNA, 426 nt
Filed under: uncultured Pseudomonadales bacterium
Lineage: Bacteria; Pseudomonadati; Pseudomonadota; Gammaproteobacteria; Pseudomonadales
Description: bacterial SSU rRNA
Rfam family: Bacterial small subunit ribosomal RNA
Source: RNAcentral
GGGGAAUAUUGGACAAUGGGCGAAAGCCUGAUCCAGCCAUGCCGCGUGUGUGAAGAAGGUCUUCGGAUUGUAAAGCACUUUAAGUUGGGAGGACGGGCUGCAAGUUAAUACCUUGUAGUUUUGACGUUACCAACAGAAUAAGCACCGGCUAACUUCGUCCCAGCAGCCGCGGUAAUACGAAGGGUGCAAGCGUUAAUCGGAAUUACUGGGCGUAAAGCGUGCGUAGGCGGCUUUUUAAGUCGGAUGUGAAAUCCCCGAGCUUAACUUGGGAAUUGCAUUCGAUAGUGGGAAGCUAGAGUAUGGGAGAGGAGGGUAGAAUUCCAGGUGUAGUGGUGAAAUGCGUAGAGAUCUGGAGGAAUACCGAUGGCGAAGGCAGCCAUCUGGCCUAAUACUGACGCUGAGGUACGAAAGCAGGGGGAGCAAACA